RNAcentral lists this long non-coding RNA (2933 nucleotides) under Cyanistes caeruleus (blue tit). Its description in RNAcentral is "lncRNA (ENSCCEG00000014258.1)". Lineage: Eukaryota; Metazoa; Chordata; Aves; Passeriformes; Paridae. The record is from RNAcentral.
CCCGCGGCCGCGAGGGAGCCGGUGCGCUCGCGCCGCCAGCGGGGCGGUGCCUGAGCCCGUAAAUCCUGAGGGGAGCCGGGGGAUGAGCGGCCGCGGAAGGGAAAGCCUCCUCUGCGGGGCACCAAAAGCCCGGAGUGGGCGGCUGUCGAAGCUGCGGCACCGGGAGGGAUCUAGUGCUCCACGUGGAGCAGUUAAUUUCCAAACCGAUAGGUAUUUGAGCCAGCUCAUAUGUAUGAGGUGCAAUAUGGCUAUGGAUGCUGAGGAACUGGCUUCACGAAGAGGAGAUAGCAAGUGCUAUCCAAGGCAGCAGGACAGUCAGCGGAGGUGUACUUUGAAGACCUGGCCCCUGACCAUGGAAAGAAGCCUGCUUGGAUGGCACUAGUUGGAAUCACUCUGAAGGACUGUAAGCUUUGUGUGCCUUAAUGAAAGGCACUAGGUAAUUUUGCAAAAGGGAAGGCAAUUUCCAUCUCACUUUAUAAGAUGCAUAUAUGUAUAAUCAUGUAUCUUAAGCAUAUGGAUUUUAAAUCUUGGCAUUGAAAGCUUUCCUGUAUUGAAUUGUGAAGUGUAUGAACAUAAAUAGUCCUAAAUUGCUGUGUUCGUGGAAGCACAAAUGAACAGUGUGAAUCUAGAAUGAUUUCAUGUUAAUUACUGUGUUUUAUUCCAAUGGUUUAAUUAGGGAAUGGUGUCACAUAUUGCUACAGAAUAUCACAAUUUACCUGCCCCCAUCUGACAAUCUCUUGGCUUUAGUAACAAAUGAAAGUGUAGUCCUUUUUGGAAUGGCUUUGAAGAUCUGAUAUGAAAAUCUUAUUUAAAGAUGGAUAAAAUGAAUACAUCCUUUUGGAAAUUCACACAAUGAAGUUAAGUGACCUUCUCCAGAUAGAUUAGCAAAGUGUGUCAGUAGUCAAGAGCAUUUAAAUUCCUGACUGUGUCCCUCUUUUUUAAUCAUUCUUUCCAGAUCAGUCUACAGAAUGGUGCUCUCACCAGUGUCUGAGGUAGUCAACAGAACUGAAUUACUGGGUAUAUAUUUUUCCUACAAUGAGCUUUCUUCUUGUAAGUAACCUACUUCUUCAGAGUUUUCUGGUUUGCUUUUUUUUUUUUUUUUUUUCUGAGAGGAAGAGGAAUGGGGUAGAUGAAAAAGGUAGAAAGCUAAAUCUGAAAGAAAAUGUUUGGAUUUCUUAUUGAUGCUUAUACUUCAGGAGGAAAUGGACGUCACUGCAAGUUAACAAAAUGGAAAUAUAUGUAUAUUAAAAGGAUUUUUUUGUUCUCACCAGGAAUAGAGUGCCUUGACUAAUCAUAAUUGGUUUCUUGUCUUGUCUUAGGGUCAGUGGCCAGGAAGAGUUCUUAUAAGAGAUUUGUAAGAAAUUCAAUAUUUCUUCUAAGUGUCUAAAUCAGGAGAUCAUGUAUUACACUUUCUUUAAAUAAGCUCCGUUGAUGAUUUACUUUGUGGGAUGAAAGAUUGUCAGUCUGUGCCUUAAAUCCAUGCUUUUUGAAGAUGUUUUUGAACCUUUGUUAGUUAUAGUUUAUGUAGCAGUGCUGAAUUCUCUGCUGCACUGCAAAUUCAAGUUGCUGUCUGAAAAUUAAGCUUUGAAUUCUGGAUGAAUAUCUGUGAAAGUAGGCCCCAUAUGACCUGAGAUUAUUUCAAAAGAAUCUCAUUUGCCUAGAAUUGCAUGCAAGAAUAUAGUUUUGCUUUAGAGACUCUAUGCUGUGUUGCUGUCAUUUACCCAUUGCAGGAGAUGUUCUUGAGUGUUCUGCUGAAAAAAAAAACCUGUUAUAAAUAAUCCUGUGUUUAAUAGCCCUCUAAACCAGAGAGGGAUUACAGUUAGUCAGGUGAACUGGAUGCUGUAUGAGCAAGGAUACAAUGACCCAAAUUACAUUUUCUAUUGAAAUACUGUUAAAGAUUACUAUGUUUUCACCUACAGCAAACUUCAGACUCAUUGAAUUUGUAGGUACCAAUUCCAGUAGUACAAUAUCACAAUUUGCAGCAUGGCUGGGAAUUCUGCUGACUUUUCCUCUGAGUACCUGUUCUGCUUUUUAGUAAUCCUUCUACUGAUUACUUCUGUUUCUUUUGGUUGUGAAUGUUUAACCUACUUUUGUGUACUUGUUAUGUUUAUUUUGAUAUUAAACAAAUCCUUUUUGCAGCUACUUUUUAGCAAGCAUUCAGCAGACAAGCAUCAAGUGGAACUAGUCUUCGUAACAGCCAUGUAGCAAACAUCCCAACAUACCUUGGUGUCUGGGAAGGUUCAUGCACGCCACAGCACAGGCACAGAAUUCAUUGAGCCCACUCAUACUGAUCUUGUGAUGCUGUACCUCACGUGGGGCACUACAAUUCCUUACCCUUUAACAGUUAAUGUUUCCUGCUUCAGUAUUGUUUCUACAACAAUUCUUCUGUUGUUCCACAGGUACUAACUCAAUUUUAUUUUUUUACUUGUCUGGUUUUUUGCAAUAAGAACCAUAUAAAGCCUAAAGUAAGAGACAUGUUUAGUAACCUGAUUCUGGCUUGCAGUUUGCUCUUGUUUUGUCAGAUCUGACACAAGUAUUUUUCCUGAAGUCCGUUUGUUUAAAUGUAGCCAUUACUCAUAUUUUCCACUGUAAACUUGGAUAGCCACUGUGGAACAAGCCACAAAAAAUGUGGGUUUCAUGACAAAAUUGUAGACCAAGAAUUUUAUAGUUCAGGAGUCAUCUUGCGUGCUUAACUAGCAUUAAUUGAGGAGCCAGAUUUCUAAAUAUUGCUCUAUUGUCUGGUAACUCAGGCACUUCUCAUAUAGCGUGAUAUGUUUGCUCCAAAACUGAUCUGUGAACAAGUAUCUGAAAAAUUGGAAAGCUAGAGUUGUAAAAUGGAUCUAAGUUAUGGAAUCUAAGUUUUACUUCAGAAUUCAAAAUCCAUUGAGGCACAUAUAAUCUUCUCAGGACAAAUAAACCUCUUAGUGGAAUCA